UCCAUUAGUGAAUCUCUCCGACAUGGAAAGAUUAUCCAUAUUUUUUUGGUGAGGAAAAGAUUUUUCAUGAAUCCCCCAAUGAAAGUUAGCGGAUUUCAUGAACAAGAUACAUCUCUCUCUCUCCUCCCAACGUUUUUACCCCCUUUCUCUCUAUGCAGCAGCUCUCCUCCUGAAUUGGGAUCUCCUUUCUUGCGUUUCACUCCCAUCUCGCCAGUGCUCUUUUCUCAACCAUGGAUUUACUAAGGUCAUCUUGCAGUUCUCAAACCAAAGAACCCUGAUGUUCCUGCACAUCAAGUGCUUUUCACUCAUGCUUUUAUGUGGGUUCAAUUACACAAACUACAUUGGAUGUUCAAUGAUUACGAUAUUUAGCUUCUGUGUUUUCAAGCACUGGAACAUGGCUGAAUUAUAGAGUGUACUGUUGGGUCUCUCAGUUCCAUAUUCCCACCGACAGCAAGGAUGCUCAUUCCCUUAUCGAAAGAAAUUUUAUCCACCGUACUCGUAGAUCUUAGUAUUCCCGAAGAGCAUGUCUGGGUUCAGUUUGCUUUUCAGAACAGACCCAUGAUCAUGUGCCCUAACUGUUUGAGAAUUGGUCACAGAGGCAUAUUAAAGUGCUCAUUCAAGUCACGCCAAGAAAUUCUAAAUGCGGCUUUAAGUAUCAACGCCACUAAGCGCCUCCUUCCUACCACUGCUAUUCCUGCGAAGAUCUAGCCUUGUUAUAGAGGUUUGCUAUAUAUAUGAUGAGGUUUUCUUGGGAAUGAAGAUGGAAAGUGCAGUUCCGACUAAUGAACUUUCCGACGACGAUCAGCAAUGAAGUAAUGUCCUGUUCUAAUCAGUGAGGAGAAAGAUGGAAUUGAUCCAUACUUUCAUGCGUUUGGCAAGCAUCUAUGAACUUCAGUUGCCAACUGCGAGAAGUGGCAACCCCAUGGAACCUAUACUUUCCAGCAUCCCGAGGUACAUAACCCCACAUCUCCUCCUCCUGGACCACAUGCCUUGGGAGUCCAGUCCAAACCCACUAACUCUUCCUCAUCUUCUCCUUCUCUAAACACUGUUUCACUGGGGCAUCUUCCUGCUGAGAUGGAAAUGCAGAGCAUGGGUAAGGGUGAUGGAGCAGAAUCGAUAGUCAAUGGUUCGAUCACAUUCGUUGAGCAUUGUUAACAAGACAAAAAUAGACCUUUAAUCGCUACUAUGGGCACUUCAUCCACCCCAACCAGACCUUUAAUCUCACUCUGUUAUGAUUAUAUCUUAUUAUUUUAAUUCUUUAUAGGUAGUUUUAUGGCUUUCCUAUUACAUGUUAGAGAAGAUCACCAUCUUCAAUGAUUUAGAUGAUAUAUGGUAUUAAUAUAUCAAUAUCAUACUAUUUUAUAUUAUAUAUUAUAAAUUUAGUCCUAACUUUUUUUCUCUCCUGUGCAUUCCCUCUUUCUAGGAACUUUGAAACCUAAAUUUGAUUUCAGAAAGCUUUUGGGGAAGAUUAUACUAUUGUUUCUACUUCUACUUUGAUUUUCUCAUUUUUUUUUUCUUGGAAAGUUAGGGUUUUUCAAUUGUUUAGGGUUUACCUGAUUUGGUCUCCAGUUUGUAUUGAUUUUUUGAGUAAGUUGAUUUUAUUGUAUUUAUAAUGUUUGGUUACCGCAGACAUUAUUGUUAUACCCUUGUAAGAGAACCCGAAAGUGUCGCCAUAUGAAGUUUUGGUUGUCUUGAUCAUCGCAUGAUGCCUGAAGAAAUUAGAAGUGCAUACAAAAAACUUGCACUCAUGUUCCAUAUUGAUGUUAACAAGGAGUGAUAUAAUGGGUGAAGAAAGAAUUUAACCCAAUUCCAUGGCAAGAGAGUCACGACUACUGGAUUGGACUUCCAAGGCUCCCUACCCUAUUAUUGGGACCUUCGAGCAAUACAGUCUUGAGGCUCGUAGUCUUUCUUUGCAUCGGGUCAGAGCCUCUUCCUCACAAGAGUCACCCAACACUGUUGAGGUUGGAGAAGUGUACUUGUUAUGGACUUCAUAGCUGCAUCAAAUCUAAACAAACAAUAGAUGACUUUUUCAACAAUUCGAGAAAGACGACAUUGUCGAUGCUAAUGAAGAGAAAGUCAGGGUAGUCAAUGUUCACGAGGAACAGGAAGAUGAGGAUGUGGCUGGUAUUUCUACAAUAAUUCAUCAGGGUAGUUAAGACACCCAUUUGUAGCUAUGGUUUUUAAUUUGUAAUUCCUAUAAACUUGAAUGGGAAACUUUUGGUUUUUUAUUAAGAUGAAUAAGGAAACUUUUAUGCUUUUA
Molecule: long non-coding RNA, 2260 nt
Organism: Macadamia integrifolia
Lineage: Eukaryota; Viridiplantae; Streptophyta; Magnoliopsida; Proteales; Proteaceae
Exons: 3
Source: RefSeq, a predicted model, not a curated record